AACUGGCCCUAACCGAAUUAUUCUCUUAACUUAUGAUUUUUAUCCAGUUUUCCUCUAUGAGGUUCAGUUCAGUUCCCUAAGUUCAUUAAAUCUAUCUGGCAUCCUAGCAAAAUACUAAGACUGACAAUAUAACAAACAUGUACCUCACUACAUCAAUGCUAGUUGUCUGCCAGUCCAUCCAUACGCUUCAUCCUUGUUGUCUUCACCCUUUCCCAUUCGUUCUUAUCCAGCCAGCUCGAUCAGAUACUUAACCGAAUCCCCUUGUUACUUAGUCACUCAGCCAACCAUCCCCACAUGACCAUGAACAAAGAGAGACGGCUGGGUUUCCAACCAGCCAUCCAGAACAGAC
This 349-nucleotide long non-coding RNA is filed under the name Brassica napus (rape). RNAcentral's name for it is "long non-coding RNA (BNAP_LNC019875)". Lineage: Eukaryota; Viridiplantae; Streptophyta; Magnoliopsida; Brassicales; Brassicaceae. The record is from RNAcentral.